This 308-nucleotide ribosomal RNA is filed under the name uncultured eukaryote. Its description in RNAcentral is "partial 18S ribosomal RNA". It matches the Rfam family "Eukaryotic small subunit ribosomal RNA", at positions 1470 to 1796 of the family's 1831-position model. The record is from RNAcentral.
CCCUUAGAUGUUCUGGGCCGCACGCGCGCCACAAUGGCAAACUCAGCGAGUCUCCUUUACCGACAGGUAUAGGAAAUCUUUUCAGUGUUUGCCGUGAUGGGGCUAGACCCUUGUAAUUAUUGGUCUCCAACGAGGAAUUCCUAGUAAACGCAGGUCAUUAACCUGCAUUGAUUACGUCCCUGCCCUUUGUACACACCGCCCGUCGCACCUACCGAUUGAAUGGUCCGGUGAAGUCUCCGGACUGAGUACUUUUAGUACUUGGGAAGUUGACUAAACCUUACCAUUUAGAGGAAGGUGAAGUCGUAACA